Molecule: ribosomal RNA, 253 nt
Filed under: uncultured bacterium
Lineage: Bacteria
Description: partial 16S ribosomal RNA
Rfam family: Bacterial small subunit ribosomal RNA
Source: RNAcentral
CACGUAGGGGGCGAGCGUUGUCCGGAUUCAUUGGGCGUAAAGGGCGCGCAGGCGGCCCGGAAAGUCGGAUGUGAAAACUCGAGGCUCAACCUCGAGCGUGCACCCGAUACUGCCGGGCUUGAGGCAGGUAGGGGAGAUCGGAAUUCCUGGUGUAGCGGUGAAAUGCGCAGAUAUCAGGAGGAACACCAAUAGCGAAGGCAGCUCGCUGGGACGUUACUGACACUGAGGCGCGAAAGCGUGGGGAGCGAACAGG